GGGUGGUAAUGCCGGAUGUUCCACAUGAUCGCAUGUGAUUGUGGGAAAGAUUCUAUCGGCGUGGGAUGGGGUCGCGUCCUAUCAGCUUGUUGGUGAGGUAACGGCUCACCAAGGCUUCGACGGGUAGCCGGCCUGAGAGGGCGACCGGCCACAUUGGGACUGAGAUACGGCCCAGACUCCUACGGGAGGCAGCAGUGGGGAAUAUUGCACAAUGGGCGCAAGCCUGAUGCAGCGACGCCGCGUGAGGGAUGGAGGCCUUCGGGUUGUAAACCUCUUUUGUUUGGGAGCAAGCCUUCGGGUGAGUGUACCUUUCGAAUAAGCGCCGGCUAACUACGUGCCAGCAGCCGCGGUAAUACGUAGGGCGCAAGCGUUAUCCGGAUUUAUUGGGCGUAAAGGGCUCGUAGGCGGCUCGUCGCGUCCGGUGUGAAAGUCCAUCGCUUAACGGUGGAUCUGCGCCGGGUACGGGCGGGCUGGAGUGCGGUAGGGGAGACUGGAAUUCCCGGUGUAACGGUGGAAUGUGUAGAUAUCGGGAAAGAAC
Molecule: ribosomal RNA, 538 nt
Filed under: Bifidobacterium bifidum
Lineage: Bacteria; Bacillati; Actinomycetota; Actinomycetes; Bifidobacteriales; Bifidobacteriaceae
Description: bacterial SSU rRNA
Rfam family: Bacterial small subunit ribosomal RNA
Source: RNAcentral